AGUAAUAUGUCUGAUAAAAGAAAUAUUUUGAUAAAAUAUUAAUGUAUAAUUUUAUAUAUAUAUACUAUUACUU
This 73-nucleotide transfer RNA is filed under the name Apis mellifera (honey bee). Its description in RNAcentral is "tRNA-Ile". The record is from RNAcentral. Lineage: Eukaryota; Metazoa; Arthropoda; Insecta; Hymenoptera; Apidae.